This 446-nucleotide ribosomal RNA is filed under the name uncultured bacterium. Its description in RNAcentral is "partial 16S ribosomal RNA". It matches the Rfam family "Bacterial small subunit ribosomal RNA", at positions 338 to 795 of the family's 1533-position model. The record is from RNAcentral.
CCUACGGGAGGCUGCAGUCGAGAAUCAUUCACAAUGGGGGAAACCCUGAUGGUGCGACGCCGCGUGGGGGAAUGAAGGUCUUCGGAUUGUAAACCCCUGUCAUGUGGGAGCAAAUUAAAAAGAUAGUACCACAAGAGGAAGAGACGGCUAACGCUGUGCCAGCAGCCGCGGUCAUACAGAGGUCUCAAGCGUUGUUCGGAAUCACUGGGCGUAAAGCGUGCGUAGGCUGUUUCGUAAGUCGUGUGUGAAAGGCGCGGGCUCAACCGGCGGACGGCACAUGAGACUGCGAGACUAGAGUAAUGGAGGGGGAACCGGAAUUCUCGGUGUAGCAGUGAAAUGCGUAGAUAUCGAGAGGAACACUCGUGGCGAAGGCGGGUUCCUGGACAUUAACUGACGCUGAGGCACGAAGGCCAGGGGAGCGAAAGGGAUUAGAUACCCCAGUAGUC